Long non-coding RNA from Harpia harpyja (harpy eagle), 1891 nucleotides. RefSeq lists it as uncharacterized. NCBI's taxonomy places the organism in Eukaryota, Metazoa, Chordata, Aves, Accipitriformes, Accipitridae. The transcript has 3 exons. The record is from RefSeq and is a predicted model, not a curated record.
UAAAUAAUAAGGUGCAUAGGUGUACAGGGAAAAUACAGCAGUCCAUAAAUAUAGUUAAGAACUCAGUUGUACAGUAAAAAGAAAGGGUAUAAAAAUGUAGAUGACUAAAGCAAUAUGUGUGCAGAGGAAUAAUAAUCUACUGUGAAUUAAACUAUGCAAGUAUUGGGGACUAAAUUGCUUUUACCACUCCAUACAUUUUUCUAAAGUACCUAGAGGCCUUCAGGUAUGAGUGCUAAAAUAAAAAUAUUAUUAUUAUGGAUUUUGGGGGGCAGAUGAGUUGGAACCUAAGCAUGUCCCCUGUGCCCUAGCUCUAUUUCAUGUGGUUAAAUGCAUUGGGCCAAAUUUAUCCCUGGUCUGCUAUAUUUACUGCUGAAAGCACUUUAGAAAAGUGCGUAUUAAAGCUAUAUCUAAAGAAGCACUGAAUUCUGAACAGGCAUUCAAAGUGAGGCAAUAAAAUCAAAGAUGUUCUCUCAGGUCAGUUUAGUUUUGGGUGAGGGGAGCGAUUGCUCAAUCACAUCGGUCCAGUGAAUCCAAAACAACAGCGCGUGAAAAAUAUGGUGGCAAAAUAAUGUCUCCAUGUGGGAGAAAUGCUAAUCACUGGCGAGGCUGCUUCUCGGUUUUUACUUGUGGAUUUUAUUCUAAUUUUUUCCCUGAUUAUUAUUCUCCCCCAGUGACCGCUAAGGUAACUUUUCUCCCUGUUUUGCAGGGAAAUUUGAGGCCAACGUUUUUGCUGCGUUAUGAAAGAAAAUUCUUCAUAGCGCCCGCAUACAGCAGCCUGCAAAGUAGUCGUGGUUUUCGUGCUGACUAUGAAGGAGGUGGGACCGAGCCUUGGAAAACACCACUGGGACUGCAGUAAUUCCGAUGGGUUUGCAGUCCAAGAGGCACCCCGAGCACAUGUAUAGCGGCAAGUAUGUUUUACCACUGUUGCUGCCACAGCUGGCUUGGGUGAUACUUUGGUAAUGAGGACAGCGGUGCUGCUGGGGCACAGCUGCUAGCAGUGACAAGUGCCCAACAGCCCAGGUCUGUGAUUUCUUUAUCUGUUUUAGGUUCAUCUCCCAUUAGCUUCAGAGGAUUGGGCCCCUCAGGAAGAACCUGUGUGACUUUAAGCAGAUGCAACAAAUAUUAAGGAAAGAGCCUUGUGCCUCACGCUGGAUUUGAAGCACUGAGAGCUGCCAGCCACUUUUCCAGGUCAGGGCCUCAAGGCAUCCACAUGGAGAACUGCAGUAGCAGCACCGAUGGAGCUUGGGCACAGUGCUAGGAGACAGAUGCGAGAAAGAGAGAAGAAAAAGCAAUACCACUUCAUUUUUGCCCAUGUCCCUUGUUUAAGACAAAAGGCUACGCAGCCCAGCAGGCCAACAAAUCUACAAAGAAAGAUGCACCAGAAAAGCCUAAUGAUACAUUGGCUCCUGGCUGAUCCCAUCGCUGCCUCCCAGCCCUGACCUCCACAAUGCUCCCGCUGCCGCCGGGAAUGGACCAGGUUCUUCUCAACCAAGUCACCUGCGAACACGCAAGGAGAAAAGGCAAGAGGCUUCUGUAAUCUUUUGUUAUGAUCCUUGUCUUGCUUUUCUUAUCUUUCCCAGACCUACUCAUUUUUCUGCUUGUCUUGCCUGGGUCCUUUAAGGUCGGAUCUUGGUAGCUCUCCCAUCCUUGCAAAUGGCCCUGUAGAAGUCACUGGAAGUAUUUGACAGCGAGGGCUAAGUGGGGAAAGUAAAGGUUUGGCAUCCCUGGGACGUGACUGGAUGAGUGCCAUGUUUAUUAAACUGUAAAAGAACAUGCCUGUCCUAUGGCAAAAGCUGUAUUUGCACAGCGGUGCGAAGCCAACCCUCAGUUCUGGGGUGAAGUGCCUGCUUUUUGCAGCCUUUCAGUACUGAGUUUUGCAGUAAAAACAGAA